This 53-nucleotide small nucleolar RNA is filed under the name Sulfolobus acidocaldarius DSM 639. RNAcentral's name for it is "Small nucleolar RNA sR2". It matches the Rfam family "Small nucleolar RNA sR2". The record is from Rfam by way of RNAcentral. Lineage: Archaea; Thermoproteati; Thermoproteota; Thermoprotei; Sulfolobales; Sulfolobaceae.
UAUUGUGAUGAGAGAAUAUAUCUGAACGGUGAAGAAGUGGAGCGACUCUGAGG